Molecule: long non-coding RNA, 1021 nt
Organism: Pollicipes pollicipes
Lineage: Eukaryota; Metazoa; Arthropoda; Thecostraca; Pollicipedomorpha; Pollicipedidae
Exons: 2
Source: RefSeq, a predicted model, not a curated record
GCAACAUUCAGCAGCGGCCCGCCACGCUGCACACGGGGGCGCAAACGCCGUCGGACGCCGGCGAGGCGGAGGGUGACCGGGGGUGCGAGACGCACCAGCCAGCUGGCGACACGGAUCUCACUUCGCCCACGGACUCGGUCAACGGCCAGAGCGACUAGGUCAGGUCAGCGGCCGCCCGGCCGGCAGCGGCCGCCAGAGGCGCCACCUGUCCCACGGGAGGCACACCCGGUGUCAGACGUGUGCGAGCUCACGUCGGCGGGAGCUGCUGACCUGACCUGCUGGAGGUCCGCCCGGUCAACGGCGGACGGGGUGGCAGGGCUGGCUCCGGGGAUGGCAGGCCGGCAGAGUCAGUCGCCUGUAGUGAGUGUUGCGUCGGCACUGUCCCAGGCCCGCACAUGCCUGGACCGUGUCCGUCGUAUACAUGCGUACUGAGACGUGUAGUGCGACUCAAUGGGCGUGUGUGACGUUGGCUGUUGUGUGUGCACUGAAGCUAGUAAUGACUUCGCAUGGAUCUGUCUUGAGGGUAUGUGAGGGUUGUUUGGGUUGUCUGCCUGCUGACUUGGCUGACGAGAACGCAAUUCAUUUAUGAUUAGAUGUGCCUUAUAUGUUCAUUUUUAGUAUGCAUAUUGUUUGGGCUCACGUAUGCAAUUAACUGUUUGAACUCUGCGGGGUCAUAUAGCCACACACAGAUAUGUAUGUUGCGGCGCGUUGAGUGAAAUUAUGUUGCCUUAUCUUGGUAUAGCACUAUUACGGACAGGCUGGCAUGUACUCUUAUACCACCAGUGAGCGGGAGCCUCUUCAGCCCAUUCUGUCCGGUUGAUAAGAACGCUAACCCGAAGCGUAGGGUUGAAAACACACGAUGUGGUGAAGUACUGCUGCUUUUAUGUAACCUUUCUGGGUUGUGUUUGCCCGAAAUGAAUUCGUGCAUUUCAGGUGUUACUGUGAUAAUUUCCGAGCACUUUUUCAGACAAAAUGCCAGUGGUGAUAAAAGGCCGGAAUAAAAGCAGAUAAAGUUUCACUA